AUCCUUUCGCAGUGGCAGUAUCGUAACCUAUGAGGUUUAGCCGAGGUGUGAUUAUUGCUGGUUGAAAACUUUAACCCAAUGCCCGCCUUGAUGACUUGAAAUAUAGUCAGCAAUGGCAAUUUUUGACAGUCUCUACAGAGA
RNAcentral lists this small nuclear RNA (141 nucleotides) under Amphiprion ocellaris (clown anemonefish). RNAcentral describes it as "U4 spliceosomal RNA". It matches the Rfam family "U4 spliceosomal RNA". From Rfam's summary of the family: U4 small nuclear RNA (U4 snRNA) is a component of the major U2-dependent spliceosome. The record is from Rfam by way of RNAcentral. Lineage: Eukaryota; Metazoa; Chordata; Actinopteri; Pomacentridae.